RNAcentral lists this unclassified non-coding RNA (272 nucleotides) under plant metagenome. RNAcentral's name for it is "partial contains small subunit ribosomal RNA, internal transcribed spacer 1, and 5.8S ribosomal RNA". The record is from RNAcentral.
UUUCCGUAGGUGAACCUGCGGAAGGAUCAUUAAUGAGUUGUCAUGGGGUUCGAUGCUGGCAGCCAGUUUUUGGAUGCAUGUGCUUGCCCUAACAAUCAUCUUCUUCCAAACACCUGUGCACAUUUUUGAGGGAGUCUUGAGUUGGUUGCCGCUCUUGGGUGAUUUUCUCACAUUCCCUUAAAUCAUUAUACGCUAUUAACAAUGUUGAACGUGCUCUGUGCCGCAAGGCCAUUAAUAUGAUACAACUUUUAACAACGGAUCUCUUGGCUCUC